UACGUAGGGUGCAGGCGUUAAUCGGAAUUACUGGGCGUAAAGCGUGCGCAGGCGGUCUUUUAAGUCAGAUGUGAAAUCCCCGGGCUUAACCUGGGAACUGCGUUUGAAACUGGAAGGCUAGAGUGUGGCAGAGGGGGGUGGAAUUCCACGUGUAGCAGUGAAAUGCGUAGAGAUGUGGAGGAACACCGAUGGCGAAGGCAGCCCCCUGGGCUAACACUGACGCUCAUGCACGAAAGCGUGGGGAGCAAACCG
RNAcentral lists this ribosomal RNA (252 nucleotides) under uncultured prokaryote. Its description in RNAcentral is "partial 16S ribosomal RNA". It matches the Rfam family "Bacterial small subunit ribosomal RNA", at positions 524 to 775 of the family's 1533-position model. The record is from RNAcentral.